This 368-nucleotide unclassified non-coding RNA is filed under the name uncultured bacterium. Its description in RNAcentral is "contains 16S-23S intergenic spacer region". The record is from RNAcentral.
UCCGUCUUGACGACGGCAGUCUCGCGCGACACUUGUAACGCGCGACGAGGGUUGCGCUCGUUCCCGGACUUAACCGAACACUUCACAGCACGAGCUGACGACGACCAUGCAGCACCUGUACCUAACGUUCCCGUGAGGGCACUCUCGCAUUUCUGCAAGAUUCGAAAGGCUUUCAAGGCCUGGAUAAGGUUUUUCGUUUGUUGUCGAAUUGAACCUCAUGCUCCACCGCUUGUGCGGGUCCCCGUCUAUUCCUUUGAGUUUUAGCCUUGCGGCCGUACUUCCCAGGCGGCGCACUUACCGCGUUAGCUACGACACGGAAACGUCAGUGGUUCCCAUGCCUCGUGCGCAUCGUUUACGGCGUGGACUAC